AAAAAAACCCUUGAUUUUUAAUAGCUUUAUAGCAUUACAUCAUCUGUGCAUGCUAUACCUUCUUUAAACACUUCAUUUUUGGAUAUUUACGGUAUUUCCUUCCUUUCUUUUCCUUUUUUAUUUUUAAUUUUUGUCCAUAUAAAUAGCAUUUAGAUAAACACCCUUACACACCUCUUUGUUCAUUUUGCUGGUUAUUUUUCUCAGGCUUCCAGAGCUACAGUCACUGCAUCAGAGGGUAGAGAUCCUCAACUUCUGCUAAUCUGUGCUACGGAAUUAUUUUUCAGGACUUGUACCAAUCUUCUCUCCCAUGGUAAUAAAUAUCACUAAUUUGGCUUGGUUUUUACUUCUAUGAGUGUUUGGCGAAGCUGACGGUUGCUGGUGUAUGGUGGUCAGUCAAGGUUUCUGUGGCGAACCUGCAUUCUUCACUUAUCCAGCCUCCCAGACUGCUUUGCCGCCACUUGCCCCUCCCGGGUUCCGCAAUCCAGCCUUCCCGAAGGAACACUUCCUCCCCAGCUGGCUCAUGGUGUUUCUGGCCUGGUGAGUCACUUUGGCUUCUACCCAUAUCCCAUUUCCAGGUGUUACUCCCUUAUUAUGGUAAUCGUGAAGAAAAGCGACCAGGCAUUGGCACUCAUGCACCAGACACCAGGGUAGGCAGGGCUCAUCGAAGCUCUGUGACAACUCUGAGAAGUAUUGUAUCCGCAUUUCACAGCGAAGGAAAUGUAGAUUCGGAGAGGUCCGCUUCCCCAAGGACAGUAGCAGAAGUUGGUCUGGGCACUUAAGCCACUGUCUUUGCAGCCCCUGGGUCUUCUGGCCCCAUUUUAUCCAAGUGAGGAGACCGAGCCUAUUAUUUACUGAGGCAAGCUUAUUCACCCCAGACUCAGGAGGUAGGAGAAGCUAACAUGUGAACAUCUCCAACACCCUGCCCUGCCCCCACUGGGCCUGGAUGCCAUCCUCCCUUGCCACUGAAACACAGACUUGCCCUCUUGACACUUCGAAGGAACCUGUGAGAAUGUGCCUUGACCAGGGCUUCUGGCGGUUUCCUCUCCUGUAGUACUUAUGUAGAUGUAGCCUCCUCCAGGAAGCCUUCCCUGAACACCCCUAGUCCAAAUACAGACUAAGGAUGCCUCUCUUUUUGCUUCUUGCCCCUCCAAUCCUCACAGGGCAAAGGCCAGGUCCUGCCUCUCAGGUCUCUGCAACCAGCUUGGUAGUAGGCCCAGAAUAGUACUUAAGCGUUUGCAGAAUGAAUGCUUGACUCUCAGCGCUGUGGUUGGCUCUGUCCCGAGGGUACAGCGUGGGUGUGCCAGGACCAGCAGGUAGUGGCAGAAAUGUGGCUUCCUGCGUGCCCCAUUAGGAGGGCAUGCUGGGCCAAGGCUCUGGGCCAUCCGGGCUCAGGGCGCUGGUGACAUAGUCAUGGUGUCCUUCUUGCUGAAGCAAACUCCCGCUUCUGUUUUCUCACUCGAGUCAGAAAUUAAUCAUGUCUGAGUGACUGAAGUCAUUGCUCACAGCACCGGGAGCCGGUGCAGGGUGGGGCGAGGGGCAGUGGCCUUGGGGCUGAAGUCUCCCAGGCCCAGGCCGCCCCGCUGGGGGAGGGGCGAGGCGUGGCAGGUCCUGUCCCGGGGACGCGGCAGCCGCGGGGGGUGGGGUGGGGUGUGGGGGGAGACAAUGGGGCUCCGCAGCUGCUCCUCGCGGGGAGAAGGGACCCUCCAGCGAGGAGCCUGGCGAGCAGGGGAGUGUGGGAGGAAUUGAUGAGGAGAGGGGCGGAGCCAAGGAGAUGCCGCCGGGAGGAAGGAAGGGAAGGGGAAGGAAGAGAGGAGGGAGGGGAGAGGAUCAGGCUUUCCUCCUCCUCCUCCUCCUCCUCCUCGGUGACCUGAUCUAGCGCCGGGCCUGGUUCGCAUUGUUCCCAGCGGAAACUCUCGGGGGAGGGGGGUCACCAGGACCUCGCCCCCCUCCGCCCCGCAAGCUGCAGCCUCAGGCUCCGGCCCAGGCAUCCAGCAGGUGCUCAACCCUUACUUGGGAAAAUGAGAAAUGUGACCAACUUUGCUCUGGGAACUUUUCCCCUGGCUUCUCCCCACUCCUGCGGAGAAGCCGAGCAAGGAGCAGGUCUUGGGAGCCCGCCCGGGCGCCCCAGGAAUAACUGACCCUUCGUGGCGCCGCGGGAGCGGCCUCGCGUCCGAGUUCACCGCGCCGGGGGUCGGAGGCCGGCUGCCGGCUGUCCGGCCCGCCCCGGAGCUGGGGGGCGGCCCU
RNAcentral lists this long non-coding RNA (2244 nucleotides) under Chinchilla lanigera (long-tailed chinchilla). RNAcentral's name for it is "lncRNA (ENSCLAG00000027690.1)". Lineage: Eukaryota; Metazoa; Chordata; Mammalia; Rodentia; Chinchillidae. The record is from RNAcentral.